ACACUCUCUCUCGAACUUGAACUUGCCAGAGAGAACUCAGGCACUGACUGUGACGACGCGGGUGGGGAGAGACUGUGCACCUACACGUGUCACUUCACAAAGGCCUCCAGGGGCUUAUGAUCAGGCAAAGGAGACACCAGGAAAGAGGAGCAGAGUGGCUAGGGCAGUGCACUGCAGAUGCAUGGACGAAAGCUCGCAGCGACACAGGUAUGGGGUGUCUAAUCAGGGAUGAGUGUGAGCAGCAGAAUGAGGAGCAUGCUUUCCCAGAGGAAGAGAGGAAGCCACUGGAGAGAUGAAGGAUGCCAUGGACAGGAGAUGAGUCCUGGUCCAGCCUGUAAUAAGAUGGAAAUGAAGAGAGCUGCCGAAUAAUGAAAAAUCACUCAAAAGGGGCAGAUUCUGAUGACGGCACAGGGGCCACCAAAGACUGGAGAUAUGAAGAGUGG
This 443-nucleotide long non-coding RNA is filed under the name Homo sapiens (human). RNAcentral's name for it is "non-protein coding LINC01508:10". Lineage: Eukaryota; Metazoa; Chordata; Mammalia; Primates; Hominidae. The record is from RNAcentral.